CGAAGACUUGAAAAGUCAACUUCAGUCUUCUUCCUUAUUGUCCCACCAAUAAUUUUACUUUUUCUCCUUCAAUCUCAUCUUCUUCCUCAAUCCUCUGAACAUCGACCACAUGUUUCUUCAUCCAUUGACCUCAAAUACUUGAUUUUCACUAUCGACUCUCUUUCUUUCUCUCUCUCUCUAGAUUUUCCGUCAAAGCUAUGGAGAAACUCUGUCUUCGAAACUCUGUUUCUCUCAUGACGAUGGUGGUUAUUGUUCUUCUUCCUCGUUGCACUCUUUCUACUACUUCUACAUAUUCUCGUCCCGAGAAGUUGUACGUCAACUGUGGGUCGGAUUCUAAUGUCACUUACGGUAACCGGACUUUUGUCGGAGAUAUGAUCUCUGGUGGUAACUCCGUUUCAUUCACCAAGAAAGGAACUGAAGCCAUCAACCAAUCAGGAUCAGGAAUCUACGAAAUGGUUAGGAUAUUCACAAGCCCUUCUUCUUACAAGUUCCAACUCGAUUCCGUUGGUCUGCACUUCGUGCGUCUCCAUUUCUCUGCUGUCUCUUCUCGGACACAGCUUUUAGCUGCUCGUUUCACAAUCUCAGCUACUUCUCACUUGAAAAGUUUCUCGCUUCAGAAUUUCAAUGAGACCCCACGAGUUGAGGAGUUUCUCCUGAUGAUUGACUCGCCGGAAUUCGAAAUUCGAUUUGUGCCCGAUCAUUCAUCCAUGGCUUUCGUCAACGCCAUCGAAGUGUUCUCUGCUCCAGAUGACCUAGAAAUUCCGUCAGACUCCGACAAGAAUCUGCAUACGGUUUACAGAUUAAACGUAGGAGGCAAGAAGAUCACACCAGAAAACGACACCUUGGGAAGAACUUGGUCAUUAGACGAUGACUUCCUCUACGAAAAAGAUUCUGCGAGGAACAUUAACUCAACACAAAAGCCUAACUAUGAGUCAGGAACAGUGACGCAAUUCACUGCUCCUGAUUUCGUCUAUCAGACAGCUAAAACGAUGAACCAUAGCUCGAACGAGGGGGUGGUAGAGGGAAUGUUGAUGAACGUCACUUGGUCAUUUAAGGUCAAAAGCAGCUCAAGACACUUCAUCAGGGUUCACUUCUGUGAUAUCAAGAGUGAAUCACAAAAUCCCGACUCCGAUUUCUAUCUCUAUGUAAACGGACAAUCACGACUAGAUGUAAAGCCUUCAGAGCGUNNNNNNNNNNNNNNNNNNNNNNNNNNNNNNNNNNNNNNNNNNNNNNNNNNNNNNNNNNNNNNNNNNNNNNNNNNNNNNNNNNNNNNNNNNNNNNNNNNNNAUAUAAAUCAUAAAUAUUAUUUAUUUAAAAUUCUACUUGAAAAGCCUUUAAAUAAAGUAACUUAAACUUGUAUAAGUAGUAUAUUUUAUAUAUAUAAAAAAUAAAUUUGUAACUAAAAAAGUGAUAAUAGAGAUUUUAAUAUUAUGGUGGUUUAUUUUUGUUGUUAAUGGAGAUUUUUUAUUUUUAACCAUAAUAUUAGGAUUUGGAAACUUUUUUGAAUUUUUAAAUGUUGAUAUGGAUGCCUUAAAAAUAAUAUGGCUAAACUGUUAUUAAUAAUAGAAUAGUUUAAAUUACAAAUUUUCCUAUAUUGUUUUGUAUUACCAAUGUAAUUUUAUAAUUUAAAAACUUUUUAAAUUUUAAUUAUUGAUGUAGACUAAAAACAUUGACCUUUUACAUGUUAUGUGGAUGUCUUUGGAAGCAUAUAGCUUCAGCUUUUAUUUUUCUAUAAAUAUUUUUUUUGUUAACAAUACAGUUUUAAAAUUUGAAAAUUUUCUAAAUUUUAGAUAUUGAUAUAAACCAAUAGAAUUGAAAUUUUAAAUCCUAUGUGGACACUCUUAGAGGUAUAUAGCUUCAGGUUUUAUUUGUAAUAUAUUUAGAUAUUAACACUGGAAGAUCCCACACGAGGCCCAUUGCGGUAAGUGAUUUUGGUUUCUCCUCUAUGUUUUGAGGCUUACGGAAUGUAUUCUGAUACUGUUUGAUUCAGCUAAUUGUUACCUUUGUGGUUCAGGUUGGAUUGCUAAACCCUUGUCAGACACCAUGUUAUUCCAAAGAUUUUCCUCGGAUACCUCAGUCUCUUCGCCUUAAUGCAGAACUUCUUUCUCUAUUUCUAGUGGUUCGUUUUUCAAAAAUUUUGGGUAUCAAUCACUUGACAUGUUUCUCGGAUUACUUGAAAUUUAUCAUUCUUCUCAAAUCUGGUGGCAAAACUUUAGAGAUUUUACAGUCUCUUUUUCAAUAUUAAAACAGCUUGUAGUGUCUUUGUUUUCAUCAUAAUCAUUUUAAUUUAGCUAAUAGUUAAACAUAUAGUUUAGUCAAGUUGGUUCUUAAUUUUACAUUGUAAUGAUUCAUUCUUUAGUGAAACCUAUCUCUAUUUUUUUGCUUUUUUAAUUGAAAUGGUUGUACAUACAUAAAAAAAACUUAAAAUUUAUUAUAGUUAUGUGAAAAAAAUUUGGAUGCUAAUGUAGGAGUAUGUAAAUAAAUUUAAAUAUUUUAUUUGUUCUUAAUUAUUUAUAUAAUUGAAACAUCUAACUUAAAUUUAAAUUUUCCUAUUUUAAAAUAUUUAUUUUAUUUUUAUUAUUAUUAAUAUAAAUUAUAUAUAUAAUUUAUUCAUCUUUAAUAAAAUUUUAAAACAAUAAUAGAAUUUAGAAACUUUUUUUAUUUUUAAUGUUGAGGUGGACCAAUAAAAAAUUUAUACAAAAUUUCUUUAUUAAACAAUAAUAUUAGAAUUUGUAAACUUUCUUAAUUUUUUUAUUUAACACUAAUAUUAAAAUUUGGAAAUUUUCUUAAUUUUGAAUGAUGAUGUGGACCAAUAAAAUUCUUAAUUUCCUUAUUUAAUAAUAAUAUUAAAAUUUGUAAAUUUUCCUAAUUUUGAAUGAUAAUGUGGGCCAAUAAAAUUGUAUUUUUUAAUCCUAUGUGAACGCCUUGAAAAGCUUAUAGCUUCAUGUUUUAUUAGUAUAAGAUUAUAUGCAAAUCUUAUAUUUUGCGUCCAUGCUAUGCGUGGAUAUUUGGUCGAUAAAAAUUAUAUUUAUCAAUAUAAAAAUUUUCUAUAUUAAUGUUUUAAUUAUAUAUUUAAAAUAUUAUAAUGUUAAUCUAAUAAUUUUUAUGUAAAUUAUAAGGUUUUAACGGUUUUUUUAAUCUAUAUAUAAUAUGUUAUAUUUCAAAAACGUAUUAUUUGGUCAAACACUUAUAAGUAAAAUUUUACAAAUUAAUCAAAUGCUAAUUUUAAAUAUAGUAUUGACAUGAUGAUAAAAUAUUAUACAUUCACUUUUUUAAAUCAUGAAGAUAUUUUUUUUUAUCAUUUUCACUUUUAUUUCAAUUAUAUAUGUGUUUUUUAAAAACAAUAAAAAUAAUUAUAUUUAAUUUUUUUUCCUUCUCUUGUAAUUAACUAAUAAAUAAAAUAUUUGCUUUUGAGGUUAAUAAUAACUAUAAACUUGAAAUCAAAACAGCAUAUGAAUAUAAAAUGAAUAAAAUCACUAAAAAUUUUUGAAUUAAAUAUAUUUUUGAUAAUUGGUUGUGUAAAAUUUUAAAUAAUUUUUUAAUUAUUAUUCCUCAUCUCUUCUAAUGAGAAUGAAAAAAAAUUUCAUCAUGUUCAUUUUUAUUUUUGUUAUAUCUGUUUUUUUAUGAAUAUGUCAUAUUUGUAUAUUUUAAUGAUUUGUGUAUGACUAUAUUCAGUUUCAUCAUAUUCAUUUUUACUUCUUUGAAUUAUAAUUAAGUAGGCAAAAUCGGUAUAAUUAAAUACAUUUAAUUUUUUAAAAAAAAAAAAAAUUGAACAACUCAAAACAAAGAGUUUCUACAUUAAUCUAUUGCAAUUCCAAGUCGAAUUUUUUUUAAAAAAAGAAAAUUUUGAUUAUUUUUCAGUAAUAUAUUACAUAAUAUUAUGUGAAUAUAUGUAUUGCAUAUGUUAAAACAUUUAUAUGAAUAUAAAUUAUAAUUAUUAGUUAUUUAAAAUUCAAUGUGAAAACCCUUAAAAUCAAGUAACUAAACUUGUAUAAGUAGCAUAUAUUUGUUUUGUAGAUGAUAAAUUAUAUUUGUAACUUAAACAGUGUUAAUGGAGAUUUUAAUAUCAUUUUGGUUUUUUGUGUUGUUAACAGAGAUUUCUUUAUUUUUUAAUUUAUUUUUUAACUAUAAUAUUAGAAUUAAGAGUUUUUUAAUUUACAUUUUUGUUAUAUACAAAUAAAAUUGAUAAUAGAAUAAUAUAACUUUAACUAUUAUUAAUAAUAGAAUAAUUUUAACUAACACUUUUACCUAAAUUGUUUUGUAUUAACAAUAUAAUUUUAUAAUUUAGAAUUUUUUUAAAACUUUAGUUAUUAAUGUAGACUAAUAAAAUUGACCUUUUAAAUCUUAUGUGUAUGUCCUUACAGGCAUAUAGCUUCAAAUUUUAUUUUUCUAUAAAUAUAUUUUUUUGUUAACAAUAUAAUUUUAAAAUUUAGAAAUUUUUUUAAAUUUAAAUAUUAAUAUGGACUAAUAAAAUUAAACUUUUAAAUCAUAUAUGGAUAUUCUUAGAGAAAUAUAGCUUUAAAUUUUAUUAAUAAUAGAUUUAGGAAUCAAACAUGGAGGAUGCCACACAAGGCUCGUUGCGGUAAUUGAUUUUGAUAUUUUCUCCUUGUUUUGAGGUUUACCGAAUGUAUUUGGAUGAUGUUUGGUCAGCUAAUUGUUACUUUUAUGGUUAAAAUUAGAUUUUUAAAAUCCUAUAAAAUGCCAUGUUAUUUUAAAAAAAAUUUUCGGAUAUCUUAGUCUCAUUCGUCUUAAUGACAAAACUUCUUUCUCUAUUUUCAGUGUUUUGUUUUUCAAAAGUAUCGAGUAUCAAUCACUUGACAUGUUUCUUGGAUUGGUUGGAAUUUAUCAUUCUUCUCAAAUUUGAUGGCUAAGCUUUAGAGAUUUUAUGAUCUUUUUUUCAAUAUUAAAGCGGCUUGUAGUGACUUUGUUUAUAUCUUCUUUCAUUAUAUUCUUUGUAAUUUAGCUAAUAGUUAAAAAUAUAAUUUAGUCAAGUUGAUUGUAUUUUUUUGUUUUUGUUAAUUUGAAAUAGUUGCACACAUAGAAAAAUUGGACGCUAAUGUAAGAGUCUCUAAAUAUGUAUGUAUAAAUCUAAUUUAAAUUUAUAUUUUCAUAGUUUAAUAUUAUUAUUUUAGUUUUUAUUAAUAUAAAUUUUAUAUAUGAUUUAUUUAUCUUUAAUAAUUUUUAAAAACAAUAAUAAAAUUUAGAAACAUUUAAAUUUUCAAUAUUGAGGUGGACCAAUAAAAAUUUUAUACAAAAAUUUCCUUAUCCAUCAAUAGUAUUAAAAUUUGUAAACUUUCCUAAUUUUCUUAUUCAGCAAUAAUUUUAUAACUUGUAAAUUUUCCUUAAUUUUGAAUGUUGAUGUGGACCAAUAAAAUUACUCUUUUAAAUCCUAUGUAAAAACCCUUAGAGCAUGGCAGUUUUACACAGGUUCUAAGGUGGGGUUUAUAAGUUUUUUGGAUUUUAAAAAAAUGAAAAAAGCCCAAUAUCUCGUGAACCGGUUCUUGUUUUAGAGUUUUUGGAGACUGUAUUUAGAAGGGUUCAUAAGUGACGUGUCUGCUUCUCAUUCGUUCAACAAGAAAUUUUUUUACGCUCUCUCUCCUCUUCCACUUUCUCUGGUUUUUCGUUUAUGUCGACAUUUAUUUCUCCUCUUCCAACCACGAUUUUUUCUCUGGUGAUUUCAGAUCAUGGGCUAAAAAAAUGAAAGCUUUGCAUGAACCCACUUGAAAAAGAGCUGGGAUUUUCAUUGGAAUCAAAGCAUCACUCUUUCCUCGAUCAUUGUUACAAAUCGAACAGACGGUAAUGCCGGAGGCUCAAUUCCGAGAUAAAUUUGAUCACGUCGAUUUCUUUCUGGUUUGUUACGUGUUUGAACUGCCAAACCAAUUCAUUCAUUAUAUAAAAUCAAAACCGAGAACAUCAUACUUGAGAUCACUGUUCUUCUUUUGCUUCAUAGUUUGUGAAGGAAAAUUAAACAAAAAAAAUUUUAGAUUUCAUCAAACCCAGUUUAAGAACCUCUAAUGAUGUUCACCAUUGGAGGAAUAAAAAACUUUGGAGUUCUAAACCAUUCUUUAAUCAAAAAUAAAUUAUUAAAAAAUAGCUAUGAACCCCAAGAGGAGGUUCACCAUUACUGGUGCUCUUAGAAACAUAUAGCUUCAACUUUUAUUAGUAUAAGAUGUUUUCUCAUUUUUUUAUUUUAAAAUAUAUCUACUGAUCUACAUAUUUGAUUUACUAAGGUUAUUUUCUUAUAACGUAUCUCGGACUUGGAAAAUAUCAUGAAUGUGAAUUCAAAACAUUGAUUUGACAAACUUUUUCUCUCUCGAAGCUCUUUCGCGUGCUUCCGUCUUGGUGGUCUUCUCCGGUUAUGGCGCUCAUCGCUGGACUGUGAGAAGGCCACCCCAAGGUUAGUUUUGUAAUUCGCGCCCAUCAUCGACGGAAGAGGUUCAUCGGCGGUGGAUUUGGAGGCGACCUAUUCUUCUCUGCAGUACUGUGGCAUGGAAAACCAGCGCGACGAGCGGCUGCGGAAGCUUGGUGGCCUUGACAAAGUGGUGUUGUGGAGUCUCAGUGAUUUGUCUCUGAUCAAGGGCGGCGGAGUGUUUCAUUGGAGAUCUUGCCGCAGUUCUAUCGAGGCUUAGAGAGGCAACUUGUUUUCGCUAGUUUGGUGGGUUGGGCCGUUUGUCGGGGACAGUUCUCCUGGUCGACGGUUGGAUCUACCUAAGGAUGGCGGUUCCUCUCGGUGGUGUUGUCAACUUGUCGGAGUCGGAUACUGUUCCUUACCGGAUUGAAGAUGGUGGUUCACGUGGUAAAAAAGAGGAGAUGUGCAUCGCGCGGCGGUGUUGGUUUCGAAGGAAGAGAAAAUCUGUGUGUCGGUUACUGGAUCUGGUGGUAGUCGACGAUUUGGCCGUGGGUUAUUCCAUGCUUUUGGUCAUGUCACUCCGGGAGUAGGAGUAUUCGGAAUCUUGCUGUGAACGGAUCUGGUUUCCGAAAUUGGACAACCUAGUUUCCAGUUCCUUAAAGGCGACGAUAGCUCUGCGCCGUUCUCGCAUACGCUGGAGGAAGAUAUGCAUGGGCUCGAGCUACUUUUCCCAAUCACAGAUUUAAUCUUAACCUAGUCCAUACGCUUUACCUUAGCCUAUUUCCAAGUCUUUUUUCAUUUUUUUGUUCAGGUUUACCACCGGCGGAGAUGUACUGUUCCGAUACCCUUUUAGGAAUUUUAUUAAUAAAAAUAUAUAUUUUUUUAAAAACAUUCAUUUUGACACGUUUCGACAUUUCAUAGUUUAUAAAACUGUCACAUACUCACAUGGUUUUUGUGAUAUGCUUACAACUAAUAAAUGUCUUUGGUACAAUUGUUUUUCAAUUUUUAGUUCUACCAAUUUUUAUUAUUUUUACGAUAAAAGUUAUCAUUUUAAAAAUAUGUUGAUUGUCACUAGUUCAGUGUUUUAUAUGGGAAAAUGGUCAAAAUUAAUCGAACUAAAUUUGAUGUGUCGAAAAAAAUCCGAACUAAAAUACGGUGCUAAUAACUAUCUAAACUCUAAAUAAUUCAAAUUUCCUAUCUGAAUUCUAAUAUAUGUGUCAAAAUCUAUCUUGACUAACUUUGACAUUAGUAACUGUUAAAAAAUGCUAACGAGGCAUGCUGACGUUGUCAUUUUAAUAAAACGAUAUUUUUUUUGUUGUAAAAAAAAUCAAAAACUUAUCCUCUUACCAGAACUUGACUUUUUAAUUUGUAGUUAAAUGUGUGGACCAGUUGAACCGUGAAACAAUAUUAAUACUUUUUACAAACAUAUUUAUAUAUUAUUGAUAUGCUGCAACAUUACAAUCAUGAGACCUAAAGAGAACAAGUAACAUCCCGUGGAUUAUCAAAGCCAUUACAAAAAGUAACCUGUUUGCUCUAUCGAGAUCUAAAGAGAACGAAUUCUCACCCAAAAUCGAUUUUCUCCUUUUGUUAAGCUUCUUCAAUCUCGUUUUUCUUCUACGGUUUUUUGGUUUUCUCUGCCAGAAUUGGUAGAGAGAGAAUGGAGAAGACGAAGUUGUUGCUGCUGCAAUUCUCCGAACUCAACAUCGAACACAGUUCCCGAUUAAUUGCAGCCUCUCAAUGCUCCAACAAUGGAAUUCGAUGAAGAAGAAGAACUCUCUAACCCUAAUUCGAUUUUGAGGGUGUAUUUUAUCCCCAAUUUAAUAUGUGGUCGUUUCGUUAAUUUUUUUUUUCGAGUUUAGACAUAUAUAUCAAUAACAUAUAAAUGUAUUUGUAAAGAAAAUCAAUAAUAUCUCACGGUUCAGUUGGUCAUUGCUUAAAUGGGGUUUACAAUGGCGCAGAUUGAAGUCCAAGGAAUAGAAAAAAUUUAGAUUUUUUUUAACAACGAAAACGACGUCGUUUUAGUAAGGUGACAACGUGUCAUGCCAAGUCAUAUUCUAUCAUGCCUCGUCAACGUUUUUUAACAGUUGAUUAACGUCAAAGUUAGUCAAAGUAGAUUUUAACACAUAUAUUGGAGUUCGAAUAGGAAAUUUGAAUUAAUUUGGAGUUCAGAUAGUUAUUAGCACCGUAUUUUAGUUUAGAUUUUUUUUAGCAAAUUUAGUUCGGGUUGGUUUUGGCCAUUUUCCCAUGUUUUAUAUAUAUAAGAUUUUAUUGGUUCAUGUGUUUCAAAUAAUAUCGAUCUCCAAUCAAAAUCUUGUUCAUUGGAUUAUCGAUGUAAGAAUUAUCGUCAAUAUCUUAUAUUAUUAGUUUAACAACUUAUAUGUACUUGUUGAAAUCUGGUGUCUUUAAUUCAACACAUCGACAACACCAAGAAAAACAAAAAAAUUGUAAUAUCUAAUGGAUCACUUUUUCCUCAUAAUUUUAUCUUUCUUGGUCUUCUCCAUCCUUUCUCUAAAACGUUUGAUCGGUAGAUGGCGGAACAAGUUUAACUUACCUCCAACUCCAGCUUGGUCACUGCCGGUGAUUGGUGAUUGGUGUAGAAAGUAAAUUUUGAGGAGAUAAAUAUUGCAAUAUAAGAAAACAAAUUGAGACAUAGAAAAACAUUUUAUAAAAGCGGAUUAAGGAAAAAUGAGAAAUGGAGGCGAGAUGAUCUCUUUCCUUAAUUCAAAAUAUCUCCCGCAGUGUGGCGGUUAGAUGAGAUAAUGAAUCCCAUGAUACAACCACUGAUAUUCGUAUAAUCGCAGCACCCGAUUAUUGAUAACACCGGAUUUUGACUAUUUUUAUGGAUCAUUUUAAUAUCUUUUACAGGUGUUUUUACUCCAUUUUCAAAGGUUUUCAAAGGAUUUCUAUAUUUUCGGAUUUUAAAAGACUUUUCAGGUAAUGUGGGAUAAAGAGGCACAAAAUAGAACAAAAAGACUCUUUUGGAUAAAUGCAGACCGUCAGAACUUUCAUGGAGAGACGAAGACCUUCUCACCGUCUGAUCACCCUCAAAAUUGGACAACUUAUAGAAGAAUCAACCAGCUUUCAAAUGCACUUAGUUUGGAGACAUUACAACGGUUGGAUCUCAAGAUAUUCCAUUAGCCCCGGAGCCACGCGGAGUCGGCCAGCAACUCACGCGACCGCGGCCAACAAGCUAUUUGCCGCGGUCAGAAGCUUCCCGAUCGCAGCCAACAAGCCAAUUGCCGCGGUCACAACACUCCCGACCGCGGCAUUCAACCUCCGACUUAAAGCCCACUUAUCUGAAGCCCAAAGUCAUUCCCAGCCUCAAUUCCGGAACCCUAGAGACCAUGGAGUAUUGGAGACUAUAAAUACAUGUCAUUUAGGUCGUUUUUAGAGAGAACCCUAGAUACUUUACAGAAACCCUUUUCUUUUAGCCGUUUUUAUGAGAUUUUUGUAGAAGAUUUUUCAAGUCCGAGUUCUUCAAUAGAGAAGCUUUCUUUAUCUCUUUUCUUUACUGUUUUUCAUUACUUUUAUUAAAACCAAUGAUGAUGUCGAACUCAGCCAUGUCUGAGUAGAUCCCGAGUUGGGCUUAGGGUUCCCGAAAGGGGCUCUCAUAAUCGAUUAAAAAAUUAGAGAUUGAUGUGUUUCUAGGGACAAAAGACGAUGACUUGAAAAAUCAACCCUGGUCUUUUCCCUUAUUGUCCCAUUAGAAAUCUCAGUUUUCUCUUCAAUCUUAUCUUCUUCCUCAGAAUCCUCUUCACAUCGACCACAGGUGUCUUCAUCCAUCGACUUAUUGAAAUUUCUUCUAGUAUAAGUUAAACCAAAAUGUGUGGAAACUGACUAUUCAACACAAAAGACUUUUCACUCUCUUCGUUCAACGUGAAUAACACUUCGUAGCAAAUGACUAGAUGGUGAGCCAAGCGAAGCUGAGUGGAAAUGGAGCACUGACUAUAUGUAUAUAAAGAGAUGGCAUGAAACCAAUUUAACCAUCACAAUUUCCAUUUGGUCGCUUCUUUUUCACUAUUGAUUUUCAAGAAAGUUAAAAAUUAGCUUAAAGAAAUAACGAAAGGCUCUUGAAACUCAAUGAGUACCAUUCAUAUUUCUCUUUCUUUUCUCCUCUUGUUCGUUUUUUAUUUUCAUGACGUGUUUGCGUCUCCUACUAGACACUUGUGUCGUCCAGAACAAAGGGAUGCACUUCUCGAGUUCAAGAAUGAGUUUGAGAUUCGGAAGCUUUCUUUUUUUCAGUGUUAUGUUAAUGGUAGCGUUGUUAUUGGAAUGGUAUCAAGUGCGAUGCCAAAUCUGGGGAAGUGAUCGAGCUAGACCUCAGUUGCAGCUGUCUCUACGGCAAGUUGCGUUCCAAUACCUCUGUUUAGGCUUCACAGCUUUUGUUUUCUCACCACUUUAUACCUUUCAUAUUAGGUCCCCAAAUCCCGUUCUCAAUUGGAAAUCUUUCUCUUCUCACUUCUCUCGACCUUUCUGAAUAUGGGUUUUCGGGUCAGAUUCCAUCUUCAAUUGGAAAUCUUUCACAGCUCACCUCGCUUGAACUUUCUUCCAAUCAGUUUUCGGGUCAGAUUCCAUCUUCAAUUGGAAAUCUUUCACAGAUCACCACUCUCCGUUUUUCCUUUAAUCAGUUUUCGGGUCAGAUUCCGUCUUCAAUUAAAAAGCUCUCUCAUCUCGAAACUCUUGACCUCAGUCAUAACAGACUCACUGGUGAAAUCCCAGAUUCUUUUGCCAGUUUGAAAAAUUUGACCGAGUUAAAUGUUAGUUUCAAUAAGCUUAGUGGUAAUUUUCCAAUUUCACUUCUAAAUUCGAUCAACUCACAGGAACGCUUCCUCCAAACAUUAGCUCACUCUCCAACUUGGAGUGGUUUUAUGCAUAUGACAACGAUAUAGUUGGAACCAUUCCUUCUUCUCUCUUCACCAUUCCUUCUUUGACACAAAUUGAUUUGUCAAAUAACCAACUGAACGGCAUUCAUGAGUUUGGGAAUAUACCUUCACCAACAAAGCUAGUGAGGUUAGAGCUUGGCGGUAACAACUUGAGAGGGCCAAUCCCGAGAUCCAUUUCCAAAUUAGUCAACCUCUAUUACCUUGACCUUUCCAAUUGGAACACCCAAUUAGGCCCAAUUGACUUGAGUAUCUUCUCGCAUCUCAAGUCACUCCGAUUUCUUGGCUUAUCCCAUUUGAACACCACCACUACGAUUGACUUGAAUGCCAUCUUAUCAUUUUUCCAGUCGCUUGGAUCAUUGGAUCUCUCAGGGAAUCAUGUUUCAGCCGAAAACAAGAGCUCAGUUUCAGAUCCUCCUUCGCAAAUGAUUAGUUCUUUAAACUUGUCAGGCUGCGGUAUUACCGAAUUUCCAGAGAUCAUAAGAACCCAACAGUCUAUGAGAUUUCUAGACAUUUCCAACAACAAAAUCAAAGGUCAAGUGCCUGGCUGGUUAUGGACGCUACCAGAUCUGGAGUACGUGGAUCUUUCCAACAACACUUUCGUCAGUUUCGAAAGACCAACGAAACAUGGACUAUCCUCUGCCUUUAUGUACUUGUUUGGCUCCAAAAACAAGUCUAAGGUCCCUUGACGUUGGUCAUAACCAACUGGUGGGAAAGCUUCCAAGAUCUUUGAUCCAUUUCUCUGCCCUUGAAGUUCUUAAUGUGGAAAGAAACAGAAUCAACGACACGUUUCCGUUCUGGUUGAGUUCUCUACAAAACCUGCAAGUUCUUGUCUUACGCUCCAAUGCAUUCCAUGGACCGAUUCAUCGAGCCUCCUUCCUUCAGCUCCUUCCUUCGCAUAAUCACUUCAACGGAACUUUGCCAUCGGACUAUUUUGUGAGCUGGAGUAAAAUGUCAUCACUUGGGACAGAGGAAGGUCGCUCAGAUCUAUACUACAUGGGAAAUGCAUAUUACGAAGAUUCAAUGGUCUUGAUGAAUAAAGGUGUACCAUUAGAGCUGGUACGUAUCCUUGAAAUCUACACAGCACUCGACUUCUCCGGAAACAGGCUUGAAGGAGAGAUUCCAAGCACCAUCGGCCUAUUGAAAGAGCUUCAUGUGCUCAACUUGUCAAACAAUGCUUUCACUGGCCACAUUCCAUCAUCUAUGGGUAACCUGACAGCUCUCGAGUCACUUGACGUUUCUCAAAACAAGCUUUCAGGAGUGAUCCCACAAGAGCUAGGGAAUCUCUCGUACCUUGAAGUCAUGAACUUCUCCCAUAACGCAGCCUUGCUCUUCCUUCGAAGACAACCCUGGACUUUUUGGCCCUUCUCUUGACGAAGUUUGCAAAGAUAUACACAAGACAUCAUCGCAAGAGAAUGAAACACCGGAGGAGGCAGAGGAAGAAGACGAAGAGGUGUUUAGUUGGAUUGCAGCUGCAAUAGGAUUUGGACCAGGCAUUGUAUUAGGACUGACGAUUGGAUACAUAUUGGCCUUCUACAAACCGAGGUGGUUCACGAGUCCUUUUGGCCGAAACAAACACAGAAGCAGAAGCACCACAGCUCAUUAAGAGAGGUAAUCUUCUGAAUUUCAUAGAUUAAAGACUAUGUAUAAUAUAACGAAAGUUUCUGGGUUAAUGUAUACUGUAUGUGAAAAUUAACUUUUUACGCCGUUUUUGUUUGUAUAGCGUUCUUAAACCCAAGAUGAAGAAUCUUUGAAAAACAGAAUGAAGCAACCAGACCAUAAGUAGAGAAGAAGCUUGGGGGAGAAGGCAACUCAUUUUAUCAAAGUCUAAAUAUCAGUGAUCGUUUCCGGUUUAGUUUGGUGUGUUUAUCAUAUACUCUGUUUUUAGCCAAUGUUUGUGUUUCUCUGUAAUUGAACAAUGAAAGAAUGUUUACAAAGCUCAAACUUAUUCCCAUUUCUCUGUGAUUGGACAUGAUUUGAGAGAGGUAAUAAUGUUCUUGCUCCGAAUAAAUCAAUCAUUCUUCUGCCAAAUGAAGAACUAAGAUUCAACACACAUCUCAGAAAAUUGAUCCUUUUUCUCUUUUGGUAAUAUUAAUUAGCUGAGUAAAAUGAUAACUUAAUUAGUUUAUUGAAAGAUAUUUCACUGAGAAAUAUAUUAGUUAGUGGCGAUCAGGAUCAGCGACCAAUUAAAGCUAUAGAUAUAGUUGCUUAAAACCCAAGCUUUGCCAUUACAAUGAGGAAAAAUCAUCUCACAAAUCAUUCCACUUUCCAACUAAUGAAACUCUACAAUAGUCAAAUGACUCAAAUCGGAAUUAGAAAGUAUACAUACACACAUAAUUUAAGGUCACAAUGACAAAAUCUUCGGUCUUACCAAUAAGAGUAUAAGUAUUCAUCAAAAGACAUCUUCUAAAAUGGAUUAUAUUAAAAAAAUUUGGUGAAAACAAACAAGAAAUUUUUACUGCUUAAUUCUUUUUGUUUUUAAAAACCAAAAGGUAAAUGGAAGUCGCUCUAAUUUUUACUUAUAAACCAAAACAAGAAAUUUUCAGUUAUAUCGUUCUAAGAUAAUGCAAUUGAUAGUAUAAUCUAUACUACUCUAUACUCCACUGAUACUUUUUCGUUUUUAAGCAGACAACUUUUCAGAGUACAAAUCUUUUGUUAUUUUUAUUCCUGGGAGAUGUAUAUCCUAUAAACAAAACUGUGUUAAAUGGAAGGACUUCAUGGACACCAAAACCAGAGGAGAAACGAAGACAGACGGUUUAGAAAUAUUUUGAUCACAUCAAAAAAAUAUAAUUCGAUAAUUUUUAUCAGAUUACAGCAUCACAAAGUCAGUGCAAAAUCAUAUAAAAAAAAUUCGAAUAAAGAAAAAACGUAUCAUGCCAAACGAAACCAAACAAAUAAAUAGAUAACAGUUGACUGACCGAGUCAGUCAUGGACAAAAACGAAGACUUGAAAAGUCAACUCCGGUCUUCUUCCUUAUUGUCCCACCAAUAAUUUACUUUUUUUCCUUCAAUCUCAUCUUCUUCCUCAAUCCUCUCAACAUCGAUCACAUAUUUCUUCAUCCAUUGACCUCAAAAACUUGAUUUUCACUAUUGACUCUCUUUCUUUCUCUCUCUCUCUAGAUUUUCCAACAAAGCUAUGGAGAAACUCUGUUUUCGAAACUCAUUUUCUCGCUUUAUGACGACUGUGGUCAUUGUUCUUCUUCCUCGUUGCACUCUUUCUGCUACUUCUACAUAUUCUCAUCGUCCCGAGAAGUUUUACGUCAACUGUGGGUCGGAUUCUAUUGUCACUUAUGGUGGUCGGACCUUCGUCGGAGAUAUGAUCUCCGGUGGUAACUCCGUUUCUUUCAACAGUAAAGGAACUGAAGCCAUCAACCAAUCAGGAUCAGGAAUCUAUGAAACGGUUAGGAUAUUCAGACGCCCUUCUUCUUACAAGUUCCAACUCGAUUCCAUUGGUCUGCACUUCGUGCGUCUCCAUUUCUCUGCUGUCUCUUCUCGGACAGAGCUUUUAACUGCUCGUUUCACAGUCUCAGCUACUUCUCACCUGAAAAGUUUCUCGCUUCAGAAUUUCAAUGAGACCCCACGAGUUGAGGAGUUUCUCCUGAUGAUUGACUCGCCAGAAUUCGAAAUUCGAUUUGUGCCCUAUCAUUCAUCCAUGGCUUUUGUCAACGCCAUCGAAGUGUUCUCUGCUCCUAAUGACCUCGAAAUUCCGUCAGACUCCGACAAGAAUCUGCAUACGGUUUACAGAUUAAACGUAGGAGGCAAGAAUAUCACACCAGAAAACGACACCUUGGGAAGAACUUGGUCAGUUGACGAGGACUUCCUCUACGAAAAAGAUUCUGCGAGGAACAUUAAUUCAACACAAAAGCCUAACUACGAGUCAGGGACAGCGACGCCAUUCACUGCUCCUGAUUUUGUCUAUCAGACAGCGAAAACGAUGAACCAUAGCUCGAAUGAGGGGAUGGCAGAUGGGAUGUUGAUGAACGUUACUUGGUCAUUUAAGGUCAAUAGCAACUCUAGACACUUCAUCAGGGUUCACUUCUGUGAUAUCAAGAGUGAAUCACAAAAUCCCGACUCCGAUUUCUAUCUCUAUGUAAACGGACAAUCACGACUAGAUGUAAAGCCUUCAGAGCGUAUUAGGUUGGUGACUCCGUUUUUCAAAGAUGUGAAUGUCUCUGAUGGUUUUGGACUCUUGAAUGUUACAAUAGGUACUAAGGAUUCCACUAAGGAUGCUGGUUUUCUGAAUGGUCUGGAGGUGAUGGAGUUUUUGAAAAAGUCAGAUUCUUCAGAUAAAAGUAGUUUCCGGGUUUACAUCAUCGCUGGCUGUGUUGUUGCUGCAUCGGUUCUGGUAUUGAGUUUGUUGUUCACAGUUUUCUUGAAGCGGAGGAGAUCGAAGAAGGAGAAUAAGUCAGACGCUGAGGUCACUGAAUGGUCUCCUUUGCCAUUGUACAGAGGUGGUGGGAGUUCCGACAAUAGACCUUCUGAUCCGGUCAACAAUUCUCCAUUACGCAGCAAUAGAACUUUUGAUCCGGUCCAUAAUUCGCCAUUACGCAACCUAAACUUAGGCUUGACCAUUCCCUUCAUAGACAUUAUGAGAGCUACAAACAAUUUCGAUGAGCAGUGGUUGAUCGGGAGAGGCGGUUUUGGAGACGUUUACAAAGCCAUUCUUCAAGAUGGAAGCAAAGCGGCUAUCAAGAGAGGCAAGAGUGGUUCAGGACAAGGACUAUUGGAGUUUCAAACAGAGAUUCAAGUCCUGUCGAGAAUCCGGCACAGGCACCUCGUUUCUCUAACGGGUUACUGCGAAGAGAACUCGGAGAUGAUCCUUGUCUACGAGUUUAUGGAGAAAGGUACGCUUAAAGAGCAUCUAUACGGCUCGGAUUUGCCUUCACUGACAUGGAAACAGAGACUAGAGAUUUGCAUCGGAGCAGCUAGAGGUUUGCAUUAUCUCCACAGUGGCUCAGAAGGAGCAAUCAUUCACAGAGAUGUCAAAUCCACAAACAUACUACUAGACGAGAACACCGUAGCCAAAGUCGCGGAUUUCGGGCUCUCAAACUCGCGGUUCGUAAUCAAGAUCCAAUCAAUAUCAGCACUAACAUCAAAGGAACAUUCGGUUACCUCGAUCCUGAGUAUCUGCAGACACACAUCUUGACGGAGAAAUCAGAUGUUUACGCUUUCGGAGUCGUUCUCCUCGAGGUCCUGUGCGCGAGAUCGGCUCUCGAUCCUUCUCUUCCUCACGAGGAAGUGAAUCUAGCGGAGUGGGCGAUGUUCUGCAAAUCCAAAGGGAUAAUCGAUGAGAUCUUAGAUCCGAAAUUGAUAGGUCAGAUCGAGCCGAGUUCGUUGAGGAAAUACAUGGAAAUCGCGGAGAAGUGUUUGAAAGAGUACGGCGACGAGAGGCCGAGCAUGGGGGAUGUGAUCUGGGAUCUGGAGUAUGUUCUUCAGCUUCAGAUGAUGCCGAUUCGCAGAGAGCCUCACGAGGAUAGCGCCGCGACGAUCUCCGGCGGCGGAGGCGAAAGCUCGUUGGUGAUUCCGAGGUUGAUGGUGAGUGAUUCGUUUAGCUCAAACUCGAUUGUUCAGAAGAACGAAGGGAAGAGUAGCUAUGGAGGUACAGAUUCAUCGGAGAGUCGAGUUUUCUCCCAAUUGAAGAUCUCCGAAGCAAGAUAAAAUUUCCUAUGAAACAUUCUGAUUUGAAAAGCGUCUGGUUUAAAGCUUUUGAUAUUAAAAACCGGUUAUUGCCGGUUUAAAUAUAAUCAUUUUAAAACAUAUGCAAAGUAACGAGUCAAUUGAAUGUAAUAUAAAAUUAAAACCCGGUUAUCGUCGGUUUAAAGUUAAUUAUUCUAAGACAAAUGCUAAUUUCCGAAUCGAAAAACAAUUCAAUUUAAUUAACCGAUAAAAACCUAAUUUCAAGAAAAGUUCUGAUUUGAUAAGUGAUUGGUUUAAUUUUUGAAAUUGAAACCCGGUUCCUGCCGGUAUAACGACUCAGCUGUUUGUGAUGUCGGCGAUGAACGAGUCCAGAUUCCGAGCCGAUGAUCCACCAGACGCCAACGCCGAUCUCGCCGCGUGCUUCAGCUCCGUCACUCUCCUCCUCAUAUCCGCGGCGGCAGAUCCUUCCCUCACGGCCUCAAUACAUCUCUCCACCUCUUCAACCUUAAGCUCUCCGUCGACAGCGUCGUUCCUCAUCCUCACUCCGAUCCCGAACACAUCCACAAGCAAUCUCGCGUCAAGCGGCUGAUCAAUCCAGCUCGGGUACGCCACCACCGGAACACCAGUCACCACCGUCUCCAUCGUCGAGUUCCAUCCACAGUGCGUGACGAAACAAGAGAUCGCCACGUGACUCAGUAUCCACUCUUGUGGACCCCACUCAAUCACAAUACCUUGACCUUCUCUAACCAUCUCCUGCAAAACGUCGACGUUUUCGCCUUUCUCCUUUGGCCUAAUCACCCAGAGAAACGAAACUCCUCUGUUUCUCAGAGCCGUUGCUAUGCUCUUAACUUGAGUCUCCGAAGAUUUCAGCAAACUUCCAAAAGAAAUGUAAACAACCGAAGACCUAGCUUGCUUGUCAAGCCACUCCAUACAAUACUCAUCCGAUUUCCACAUAUCAAGAUUUUUACCAUCUAGGGUUUUGUCUUCUUCAUCAGCUCCCAACAGAAAUGGAGAAACCAGAGGACCAAUUGGGAUCAUGGGUUUUAAACCAGACAUCGAUUCGAUUAUCUCUGAUUCGAGCUCGUAGAACGAAUUAACCAAAACCCAUUUCACAUCUUUCAAGCAAUCGACGAACUCCACCAUUAGGCUAUUGAAAUGACUUCCUGAAGAAGGCAAGAGAAACGAAGGGAGAUCUCCAACUUCCAACAAUGGUAAACCUGGCAAUUCAACCGUUUGAUUCAAAUCUUCGAGAUUCUCAGGGAAAGCAUUCGUCUUCAUGUAGUAACGGUAAUAAACCGAGAAAGCUCCACAAGCUUCGAUCCAGAGGAUUGCACAGGGGAUGUUAUAUGCAGCUGCAACACUUGGAACCCAUGGAGCAAAAGGCACAGUGACGAUGCAAGAGAAUCUCUUUGAUUCGACGAUUUUAGACAAGUUCUUGGCUCCGACUUUUUUCAACGAUGGUAUGAGAGAAUCUGCGGCUCUUGUGUGGUCUUUAGGCAGACCGUCGGGGAAGAAAGCAAGGUCCACUGGGCUACGGUGAUGUUCUUCGGCGGCGGUGGUGGUGGAGAGGAGGUCACGGGUUUUCUCGGUGGUAGCGAGAGUGAAGCUAAGGUUUGGUCGUGAGAGAUGUUUGGCGAAUUUGAGCAUUGGAUUAAGAUGACCUUGAAAUGGUAGUGCUACCAAUAGAACAUGUGUUUCUUGACCCUCACUAUUUCUCAUUUCUGCUUUGUUUAGAGGUGUUACUUAUUAGACUUGAGUUGUGUAUGAGAUUGUGUGUAACUUGUAAUUGUGGUGGUAUAUAUAACAAUGGUUGCUUAACGAUAGAUUUUUGCUUAAAAUGAAGUUAUUAAGUGAGAUUUUGGUAAGAAAAAUCUAUAUAUAGUAAAAAUUGGUAACCCAAUAAAAUGUAAUAGAUUCAAAAGUUACCACGUUUAUUAGCACCCUGCGCCUUGUCCUUAACUCAAUUCAAAUCUUGUAUAAUUGUUGACCAAAAAAACACGAUAUAUAUACCAAUUCUAGUAUGGUUAAAGUCAACAGUCAUUACUAAUGAUUUAUGAAUCUUUUUGUAUAGUGUGACACUGAGAUCAUUGUAAUUUGUUAAUGACAAUCUAUAAACUGUAAUUGGUAAUCCAAUAAACGUUGGUCAAUAAAUUCAAAUUUAAUCAUGUGUUUCUAUGCUCUUGUAAAUAAAUAAAUAUAUGUUAUUUUCAAUUGUGUUAUGGUUAUGAUUAGAUUUAUAUAAAAAAUAUGGUUAUGAUUAGAUUUAUAUAAAAAAAAACAGGUCUCAAUUCAUUCGGAUCAGUCUCGUUUGUAUCUGUCUCACUUUUAGAUUUGAAAUCCGUUAAGCUCUAUUUAGUUUUUGGAACUAACAGAGUAAUCGGUUUAUACAUGCCAAAAUUCUUUUAAUCUAUUUAAAACCAUUUACGAUAUGAUGCUUAAACAUUCUUAAUAUUUAUUUUAAAUUAUAUAAACUAAGCUUUUGGAAGCUAAUCAGAAGCUAACACACCAGUAUAAUUACCAUUGUUUUUUUAUUAAAUAAUAAUUACCAAUGUUUCAAGGCAUGCUUGAAUAUUCCACUAAGAAAAAUCAUCGAAAUUGUUUAUACUAAUCUAAAAUCCUAGCAAAGGUGGGUGAAUCUUUUUUUUUAAAUAGUUAUACAUAUUUUCGAGAUGACAAAAUUUAACAAUAUGAUAAAAUCAUAUGAACACUCGAACAUUUAUGUAGAUUUUAGUUAUGUUAUAUAUCCAAGAAGAAAUGAAUAAUAUUAAGUAACAUCUAUUACAAAUAACAUAUCAAUUGGUAACAUCAGAUGGCAAAUCAAAUAACAUCAUUACGUAGUAAAUUCAUGUGCAUGCGUUACUAGCUAAGCUUGUAUUCACUUUAUAAAAGAAAAUACAAAAUAGCAAUAGCAAUAAUGAAGGGAAGAGCAGCUACGGAGGUACAGAUUCAUUGAUCGAAGAGUCGAGUUUUCUCCCAAUUGAAGAUCUCUGAAGCAAGAAAACAAAUAAUCUCUUGAAUCCUUCUGAUUUAAAUACCGACUGGUUUUAACUUUUGAUAAUAAAAUCCGGUUAUUGCCGGUUUAAAUAUAAACAUUUUUUUAAGUCGACAAAAAAAAACAUUUCAAAACAGAUGUAAAGUGAGUCAACACUAUGAUCGAUGACUUUCUAGUUGAUGAGAAACGUGCACAAAAAGAAAAGGGUAACACUAUGAUCGAUCACUUGCUUUCUCUCCAAGAAACUCAACCAGAUUAUUAUACGGAUGUCAUCGUCAAAGGACUCAUAGUUGUAAGUAUUGAGGAAUACAUUUAAUACAUCACUAACAACUAACAAGGCUAACUAAGCUUUUUAUAAUGACUAAUUCUUGACUUCUAUUUGGAUAGGUUAUGAUAUUUGCCGGAAAUGUAACAAGAACGUUAGAAUGGGCGAUGCUAAAUCUGUUGAACCAUCCAGAAGUACUAAAGAAAGCGAGGAUUGAAAUCGAUACAAACAUUGGUUUGGACAGGUUAAUAGAUGAACAGGAUGCGAAAAGUCUUCCUUACCUCCAAUGCAUCAUAUCAGAGAUUUUUCGACUUUACCCGGCAGCUCCUUUACUUGCUCCUCAUAGGGCUACAGAUGAUUGUAUAGUUGGAGGCUACGACUUCCCUCUUGGCACGACAUUAAUCGUGAACGUAUGGGCCGGCCAUUCACCGAGACCCAAACAUAUGGUAAGAGCCAGAAAAGUUCAAGUUAGAGCGGUUCGAGAAGAAAGGAGAAGAACAAAAGUUGAUGCCGUUUGGAAUGGGACGACGAGCUUGUCCCGGGUCUGGUCUAGCUCAACGGGUCGUGAGUUUGGCUCUCGGAUCGAUGAUUCAAUGUUUUGAAUGGGAGAGACUUGGAGAAGAAUAUGUUGACCUAAGCGAAGCAACCACAAUGCGUCCAACGACGCCGUUGCUAGCCAUGUGUAGAGCUUGUCCUAUUGUUCAUAAGAUUUUCAAUACUUCUUUUUGAGAUGUCACUCCCUUUUUAAAAAAUAUGUAUAUCCAUUUAUGUUAUAUCCAUUUUGAGAUGUAAUUAAAAUGAAAGACAAAGACUAGUCUUUGAUUUGCCUUAAGAUUUUCCAUUUUAUUAAAAUUCAAAAACUAUUUUUUUUUUUCAAAAACCAAAAUUUAGAAGUUAAAUGCUACUCCAUUAUCAAAUAAACUCACUUCUAAAUUUCUAUGAAUGAGGAGUAGUUUUUUACUUUGAGAAAGUGUGAAGAAAUUUUUCCAAUUUCUUAGUUUUUGUUUGUUUUUUUUUGAGAAAGGGUUAAGAAAAGGGAGCUUGUUUUAUAAUGGAAUCUCUCAUGCAAUUAUUCCCACCUGUCACUAGAGAUAUGUUCGUAACUUCGUAACGUCUCAUGCAAUUACUGACUAAUAAACAUGUGUGAUAAGUCACCAUUAAUAUUUAUUGUCUAUUUCUUUUGCUUUUAAUUAUUAGGGUUUUGAGUAGAAAUUUGUUUCUUUCUAAUAUUAUAGACAAUAUAUAUUGCUAGCGUUUACGUUUUUUAUUUUGGUUCAAAACAUAGUGGUUAAAAAUAAACAAAUCAUAAAUUUUUAUUAUUAGUCAUUAAUGAAUGAGAGACGUUACGAACAUAUCUUUAGUUUAUUAAAAAAAAAAAAAGAUAUCUUUAGUGACAGGUGUGAUAAUUGCAUGAGAGUUUUCAUUAUAAACUAAGCUACAUAAACUAAUAACUCCCACGUUCGAUUCAACACAUUUACAACAAGAAGAAGUUCUUGAUCUAAAAUGGAAACUUAUUUUCUUAUUUUAUCCCUCGCCAUCUUCUUUUUCAUUUCUCUUAAACUUUUGUUUAAUAAACCGCAUAACAAGUUUAACCUACCACCAAGUCCGGCGAGGCCACUACCGUUGAUUGGACACCUUCACCUCCUGAAGCAGCCUCUCCACCGCACAUUCCUAUCUUUCUCUCAAUCCCUCGGCAGUGCCCCAAUUUUCUCCCUCCGUCUUGGAAACCGUCUCGCGGUUGUCGUCUCCUCCUACUCCAUCGCAGAAGAAUGCUUCACGAAAAACGACAUCGUUUUGGCUAACCGACCAGAGUCCAUAGUCGGGAAAUACAUUGAGUACAACUUCACCACUGUGACCAGCGCGCCUUAUGGUGACCACUGGCGAAACUUGCGGCGUCUCAGCACCCUCGAGAUCUUCUCCUCGCACAAGCUCAAUGGCUUUAUAUCCGUCCGUAAGGACGAGAUCCGACACUUGCUACUUCGUCUCUCCAAAAACUCGCAACAUGUAUGUGAGCUUCUACAUAUUAGUACUCUAUGACUAUAUACAUUAUCAGAGUUUGUAACCUAGUAGUUUGUCUUAGUGUGGCCUCUAGGUCAUAACCUAUAUAUAUACAUUACUUGAAGAUCUGCUCAGAGUUUGUAACCUAGUAGUGUGGCCACUAAAUUAAAAGUCAUAACUUGAGUACCAUGCAACAAAAGUUUGAGAAUUAAUCAUUUGUUUAUUUGAUAAUAAAUUAGGGGUUUGCCAAGGUGGAGAUGAGAUCAUUGUUUAUGGAUUUGACUAUCAAUAACAUUCUCAGAAUGAUGGCUGGGAAAAGAUUUUAUGGUGAUGGAACAGAGCAAGACGACAAUGCACGGCGAGUGAGACAGCUUAUUGACGAGGUGGUAUCCUACGCCGGCGCCGGGAAUGCUACCGAUUAUAUCCCAAUCUUGCGUUGGAUCACAAGUUUUGAGAAACGGGUCAAGAACUUAGCGGGUCGGGUCGAUGAGUUCUUGCAGAGCCUGGUGGAUGAAAAACGUGCGGAUAAAGAAAAGGGCGACACUAUGAUGGAUCACUUGCUUUCUCUCCAAGAAAUCCAGCCUAAUUAUUACACAGAUAUCACUCUAAAGGGGAUUAUAGUUGUAAGUAUUUAUUUUCUACAUUUAUUAAUCUUGAAUAAUCUAUUUAAUAUAUAACAACACAAACUAAACAUUUGUUAAUUUAAUUUUUACAGGUUAUGAUACUUGCCGGAACUGAAACACUAACAGGAACAUUAGAAUGGGCUAUGUUGAAUUUGUUGAAUCAUCCAGAGGUAUUAACGAAAGUAAGAACCGAAAUCGAUACCAAAAUCGGUUUUGACCGGUUAAUAGAUGAACAAGAUAUUAAAAAGCUCCCUUAUCUCGAAGGGAUUGUGUUGGAGACCUUACGUCUCCACCCUGUAGCUCCUACACUUGUUCCACAUAUGACGUCAGAUGAUUGCAUGUUGGCCGGAUACGAUGUUCCAAGUGGAUCCAUGCUAUUGGUGAACGUAUGGGCCAUGCAUAGAGACCCGUCUCUAUGGGAAGAUCCAGAAAUGUUCAAGCCAGAGAGGUUCGAAAAUGAAAAUGAAAAUCAAAAGGUGUUGUCGUUUGGGAUUGGACGACGAUCAUGUCCCGGGGUUGGAUUAACUCAUCGGCUAGUGAGCUUGGCUCUUGGAUCGAUGGUUCAAUGUUUCGAAUGGGAGAGAAUUGGAGAAGAAUAUAUUGACACUAGAGAGGCACCUAUGAUGCGUCCAACUACCCCGUUGCAAGCCAUGUGUAAAACUUGUCCCAUUGUCCAUAAGAUUCUCGAUGCUUAUGCUUGAAUUGUAACUCUUCUUGGUUUGAUUUAUGUUCGGAAAUACUACAUCAACUUGUUUUGAGUUGGGAAAUAAUUCAAAAUCCUUCUAAGAACGCUCUCAUGCAAACUGUUGAAUGUAUCUUCAAGGUUCUGAUCACCAUCUAGCUGAGUCUUUACGGAAAAUUAGAUCGUCACUAAAUAUUAUCAUUUUACCUUCGAAUAUAUUGAUUUUGUUGCCCUGAUGAUACACUUGAAAUAAAUAAAAAACAACCAUAGAGACACUCAAAUAAAAAAAAAGCUCAUAGCUUUAAAAUUUCUUGUAUAUUUUGAAACUAAAAUUAAGCUAUAUUACUUAUACUGAUAUUCCAUUUCUUCACAGUAUGAUCUAAUGAUUUUUGCAAUCCUCUAUGCUUUUGUUGUUGCAAUUAUACUUAUAUCUCCAUUUCAUUACAGUAUGAUAUAUAUAUAUAUAUAUAUAUUGUAAGUUUUGCAAUCCUCUACAUAUCAUUCUUCCCACAGCUCUAUCUGAAAAUUCCAUAUAUAUGUUCAACUUAUCUCUCUUCGUGUGUUGUGAAUUGUGUAUUAGAUUUGAGUAUUACAUUUGUACUUUUACAAUUCUUUUUUUUUUUUAUAAUCUUGAAGUGCUCUAGGAAUUAUAAUUAUUAUAUCAUGUUGGAUUUUUAAGAAUUUUGGUUUUUAUGAUAUUUUGUAAAAAAUUAGAGAGUGAUGUGUUUCUAGGGACAAAAGACGAAGACUUGAAAAAUCAACCCUCGUCUUUUUCCUCAUCGUCCCAUUAGAAAUCUCAGUUUUCUCUUCAAUCUUAUCUUCUUCCUCAGAAUCCUCUUCACAUCGACCACAGGUUUCUUCAUCCAUCGACUUAUUGAAAUUUCUUGUAGUAUAAGUUAAACCAAAAUGUGUGGAAACUAUUCAACACAAAAGACUUUUCACUCUCUUCUUUCAACGUGAAUAACACUUCGUACGAAGGACUAAAUGGUGAGCCAAGCGAAGCUGAGUGGAUAUGGAGCACUGACUAUAUGUAUUUAAAGAGAUGGCAUGAAAACAAUUUAACCAUCACAAUUUCCAUUUGCUCGCUUCUUUUUCACUAUUGAUUUUCAAGAAAGUUAAAAAUUAGCUUAAAGAAAAAACGAAAGGCUCUUGAAACUCAAUGAGUACCAUUCAUAUUUCUCUUUCUUUUCUCCUCUUGUUCGUUUUUAGUUUUCAUGACGUGUUUGCUGCUCCUACUAGACACUUGUGUCGUCCGGAGCAAAGGGAUGCACUUCUCGAGUUCAAGAAUGAGUUUGAGAUUCGGAAGCCUUCUUUUGAGUGUUAUGUUAAUGGUAGCUAUGUGCGCCCUUACCCGAAGACGGAGUCAUGGGCAAAUAACACUGAUUGUUGUUAUUGGGAUGGGAUCAAGUGCGAUGCCAAAUCUGGGGAAGUGAUCGAGCUAGACCUCAGUUGCAGCUGUCUCUACGGCAAGUUUCGUUCCAAUACCAGUCUGUUUAGGCUUCACAGCUUUCGUUUUCUCACCACUUUAUACGUUUCAUAUAAUGAGUUACAUGGUCAAAUCCCGUUCUCAAUUGGAAAUCUUUCUCUUCUUACUUCUCUCGACCUUUCUUCCAAUGGGUUUUCGGGUCAGAUUCCAUCUUCAAUUGGAAAUCUAUCACUGCUUACCUUUCUGAGACUUUCUGAUAAUCAGUUUUCGGGUCAGAUUCCAUCUUCAAUUGGAAAUCUUUCACAGAUUACCACUCUCCGUUUUUCCUUUAAUCAGUUUUCGGGUCAGAUUCCGUCUUCAAUUGGAAAUCUUUCACUUCUUACCUCUCUUGAUCUUUCUUCCAAUCAGUUUUCGGGUGAGAUUCCAUCUUCAAUUGGAAAUCUUUCACUGCUUACCUCUCUCUAUCUUUCUUUCAAUCAGUUUUUGGGUCAGAUUCCAUCAUCAAUUGGAAAUCUUUCACUGCUCACCUCUCUCCAUCUUUCUUAUAAUGGGUUUUCGGGUGAGAUUCUAUCAUCAAUUGGAAAUCUUUCACUGCUCACCUCUCUUCAUCUUUCUUAUAAUGGGUUUUCGGGUGAGAUUCCAUCCUCAAUUAAAAAUCUUUCACAGCUCACCUUUCUCAAACUUUCUUCCAAUCAGUUUUCGGGUCAGAUUCCAUCUUCAAUUAAAAAGCUCUCUCAUCUCCAAACUCUUCACCUCAGAUAUAACAAAUUCACUGGUGAAAUCCCAGAUUCUUUUGCCAGUUUGAAAAAUUUGACCGAGUUAGAUGUUAGUUUCAAUAAGCUUAGUGGUAAUUUUCCAAUUUGGCUACUAAAUUUGACAAAGUUGUCGUAUUUAUCACUCGAAUACAAUCAACUCACAGGAACGCUUCCCUCAAACAUUAGCUCACUCUCCAACUUGCGAUAUUUUUGGGCACGUGACAAUGAUUUCGUUGGAACCAUUCCUUCUUCUCUCUUCACCAUUCCUUCUUUGACAAGAAUUUAUUUGUCAAAUAACCAACUCAACGGCACUCUUGAGUUUGGGAAUAUAUCUUCACCAACAAAGCUAGAGUGGUUAGAGCUUGGCGGUAACAACUUGAGAGGGCCAAUACCGAGAUCCAUUUCCAAAUUAGUCAACCUCCGGGGACUUUACCUUUCCAAUUGGAACACCCAAUUAGGCCCAAUUGACUUGAGUAUCUUCUCGCAUCUCAAGUCACUCGGAUUUCUUUACUUAUCCCAUUUGAACACCACCACCACGAUUGACUUGAAUGCCAUCUUAUCAUUUUUCAAGUCGCUCGAAGGAUUGGAUCUCUCAGGCAACCAUGUUUCAGCCGAAACCAAGAGCUCAGUUUCAGAUCCUCCUUCGCAAAUGAUACGAGAAUUAAACUUGUCAGGCUGCGGUAUUACCGAAUUUCCAGAGAUCAUAAGAACCCUGCAGUCUAUGGAGAGACUAGACAUUUCCGACAACAAAAUCAAAGGUCAAGUGCCUGGCUGGUUAUGGACUCCACCAAAUCUGACGUACGUGAAUCUUUCCAACAACACUUUCGUCAGUUUCGGAAGACCAACGAAACAUGGACUAUCCUCUGGCUUGUGGUACUUGUCUGGCUCCAGAAACAAUUUCACGGGAAAGAUUCCCUCCUUCAUAUGUGCGUUGGGCUCUCUAAGCGUUCUCGAUUUAUCUGAAAACAACUUCACGGGAAAGAUUCCCUCCUUCAUAUGCGCGUUGGGCUCUCUAAGCGUUCUCGAUUUAUCUGAAAACAACUUCAAUGGUUCAAUCCCUCUUUGUAUGGAGAAUCUCAAGAGUAAUCUUUCGGUUCUAAACCUCCGUCAGAAUCAUCUUAGCGGAGGCCUUCCGGAGAAUGUAUUUGAAAGUCUAAGGUCCCUUGACGUUGGUCAUAACCAACUGGUGGGAAAGCUUCAAAGAUCUUUGAUCCAUUUCUCUGCCCUUGAAGUUCUAAAUCUGGAAAGCAACAGAUUCAACGACACCUUUCCGUUUUGGUUGAGUUCUCUACAAAACCUGCAAGUUCUUGUCUUACGCUCCAAUGCAUUCCAUGGACCGAUUCAUCGAGCCUCCUUCCUUCAGCUGAAAAUCAUGGACAUCUCGCAUAAUCACUUCAACGGAGUUUUACCGUCGGAUUACUUUGUGAACUGGAGUAAAAUGUCAUCACUUGGGACAGAAAAAGAUCGGUCGGAUGUAAACUACAUGGGAGAAGGUACCUAUUACGAAGAUUCAAUGGUUUUGAUGAAUAAAGGCUUAGAGAUGGAGCUGGUACGUAUAUUAAAAAUCUUCACAGCACUCGACUUCUCCGGAAAUAGAUUUGAAGGAGAGAUUCCAAGGUCCAUCGGCCUAUUGAGAGAGCUUCACGUGCUCAACUUGUCAAACAAUGCUUUCACUGGCCACAUUCCAUCAUCUAUGGGGAACCUGACAGCUCUCGAGUCACUUGACGUUUCCCAAAACAAGCUUUCAGGUGAGAUCCCACAAGAGCUAGGGAAUCUCUCGUACCUUUCUUCCAUGAACUUCUCUCAUAACCAGCUUGUCGGUCUAGUACCUGGAGGCACUCAGUUUCGAACGCAGCCUUGCUCUUCCUUCGAACACAACUCAGGACUUUUUGGCCCUUCUCUUGACGAAGUUUGCAAAGAUAUCCACAAGCCAUCAUCGCAAGAGUAUGAAACACCGGAGGAGGCAGAGGAAGAAGACGAAGAGGUGUUUAGUUGGAUUGCAGCUGCAAUAGGAUUUGGACCUGGCAUUGUAUUAGGAUUGACGAUUGGAUACAUAUUGGCCUUCUACAAACCGAGGUGGUUCACGAGUCCUUUUGGCCGAAACAAACACAGAAGCAGAAGCACCACAGCUCAUUAAGUGAGGUAAUCUUCUGAAUUUCAUAGAUUAUAGACUAUGUAUAGUAUAAUGAAUUUUUCUGGGUUAAUGUAUACUGUAUGUGAAAAUUAACUUUUUACGCCGUUUUUGUUUGUAUAGCGUUCUUAAACCCAAGAUGAAAAAUCUUUGAAAAAGAGAAUGAAGCAACCAGACCAUAGGACUGUAGAGAAAGAAGCUUGGGGAGAAGGCAACCCAUUUUAUCAAAAACUAAAUAUCAGUGAUUGUUUCCGGUUUAGUUUUGUGUGUUUAUCAUAUACUCUGUUUUUAGCCAAUGUUUUUGUUUCUCUGUAAUUGAACAAUGAAAGACUGUUUACAAAGCUCAAACUUAUUCCUAUUUCUCUGUGAUUGGACAUGAUUUGAGAGAGGUUAUAAUGCUCUUGCUCCGACUAAAUCAAUCAUUCUUCUGCCAAAUGAAGAACUAAGAUUCAACACACAUCUCAGAAAAUUGAUCCUUUUUCUCUUUUGGUAAUAUUAAUUAGCUGAGUAAAAUGAUAACUUAAUUAGUUUAUUGAAAGAUAUUUCACUGAGAAAUAUAUUAGUUAGUGGCGAUCAGGAUCAGCGACCAAUUAAAGCUAUAGAUAUAGUUGCUUAAAACCCAAGCUUUGCCAUUACAAUGAGGAAAAAAAAUCAUCUCACAAAUCAUUCCACUUUCCAACUACUGAAACUCUACAAUAGUCAAAUGACUCAAAUCGGAAUAAGAAAGUUAUACAUACACACAUAAUUUAAGGUCACAAUGACAAAAUCGUCGGUCUUACCAAAAAGAGUAUAAGUAUUCAUCAAAAGACAUCUUCUAAAAUGAAUUAUAUUAAAAAAAUUUGGUGAAAACAAACAAGAAAUUUUUACUGCUUAAUUAUUUUUGUUUUUAAAAACCAAAAGGUAAAUGGAAGUCGCUCUAAUUUUUACUUAUAAACCAAAACAAGAAAUUUUCAGUUAUAUCGUUCUAAGAUGAUGCAAUUGAUAGUAUAAUCUAUACGACUCUAUACUCCACUGAUACUUUUUCGUUUUUAAGCAGACAACUUUUCAGAGUACAAAUCUUUUGUUAUUUUUAUUCCUGGGAGAUGUAUAUCCUAUAAACAAAACUGUGUUAAAUGGAAGGACUUCAUGGACACCAAAACCAGAGGAGAAACGAAGACAGACGGUUUAGAAAUAUUUUGAUCACAUCCAAAAAAUAUAAUUCGAUAUUUUUUAUCAGAUUAAAGAAAAAACGUAUCAUUUUGAUCACAUCACAAAGUCAGUGCAAAAUCACAUCCAAAAAACUGUGAUAAUUUUGAUCACAUCACAAAGUCAGUGCAAAAUCAUAUAAAAAAAAUUCGAAUAAAGAAAAAACGUAUCAUGCCAAACGAAACCAAACAAAUAAAUAGAUAACAGUUGACUGACCGAGUCAGUCAUGGACAAAAACGAAGACUUGAAAAGUCAACUCCGGUCUUCUUCCUUAUUGUCCCACCAAUAAUUUACUUUUUUUCCUUCAAUCUCAUCUUCUUCCUCAAUCCUCUGAACAUCGACCACAUAUUUCUUCAUCCAUUGACCUCAAAACUUGACUUUCAUAGUUUCACUAUUGACUCUCUUUCUUUCUCUCUCUCUCUCUAGAUUUUCCAACAAAGCUAUGGAGAAACUCUGUUUUCGAAACUCAUUUUCUCUCUUUAUGACGACUGUGGUCAUUAUUCUUCUUCCUCGUUGCACUCUUUCUGCUACUUCUAUAUAUUCUCAUCGUCCCGAGAAGUUUUACGUCAACUGUGGGUCGGAUUCUAUUGUCACUUAUGGUGGUCGGACCUUCGUCGGAGAUAUGAUCUCCGGUGGCAACUCCGUUUCUUUCAACAGU
This 29580-nucleotide long non-coding RNA is filed under the name Eutrema salsugineum. RNAcentral describes it as "long non-coding RNA (ESAL_LNC001447)". The record is from RNAcentral. Lineage: Eukaryota; Viridiplantae; Streptophyta; Magnoliopsida; Brassicales; Brassicaceae.